CCUACGGGCGGCUGCAGUGGGGAAUAUUGCACAAUGGGCGCAAGCCUGAUGCAGCCAUGCCGCGUGUGUGAAGAAGGCCUUCGGGUUGUAAAGCACUUUCAGCGGGGAGGAAGGCGGUGAGGUUAAUAACCUCAUCGAUUGACGUUACCCGCAGAAGAAGCACCGGCUAACUCCGUGCCAGCAGCCGCGGUAAUACGGAGGGUGCAAGCGUUAAUCGGAAUUACUGGGCGUAAAGCGCACGCAGGCGGUCUGUCAAGUCGGAUGUGAAAUCCCCGGGCUCAACCUGGGAACUGCAUUCGAAACUGGCAGGCUAGAGUCUUGUAGAGGGGGGUAGAAUUCCAGGUGUAGCGGUGAAAUGCGUAGAGAUCUGGAGGAAUACCGGUGGCGAAGGCGGCCCCCUGGACAAAGACCGACGCUCAGGUGCGAAAGCGUGGGGAGCAAACAGGAUUAGAUACCCCGUAGUC
RNAcentral lists this ribosomal RNA (464 nucleotides) under uncultured Klebsiella sp. Its description in RNAcentral is "bacterial SSU rRNA". It matches the Rfam family "Bacterial small subunit ribosomal RNA", at positions 338 to 795 of the family's 1533-position model. Lineage: Bacteria; Pseudomonadati; Pseudomonadota; Gammaproteobacteria; Enterobacterales; Enterobacteriaceae. The record is from RNAcentral.